Molecule: long non-coding RNA, 662 nt
Filed under: Jatropha curcas
Lineage: Eukaryota; Viridiplantae; Streptophyta; Magnoliopsida; Malpighiales; Euphorbiaceae
Description: long non-coding RNA (JCUR_LNC000628)
Source: RNAcentral
UUAAUUAUAUAUUUAUUUAUAUUUAUUUGUACAUGUGCAUAUCAAAUGUUUAAUGAUUUACUGUGCUUGCAUUUAAAUGCAAUGUUUGAUCAUCUUGUUUGUAUGAAUUGGGAUGAAGUGGGUCACCACGAGUUUGUGAGAACGGUUUAUGAUACCGUCGGCCAUGUAUGCGGAGAUCGGCGCCCCCGUGUGCAUCUGAUGUUAUGAAUGAUAUGGAAAAACCACAAGGUAGCCUCUUGUUAGUAUGAAAAAGAAAAGAGAGUAUAAAAAAAAAAUGAGAAAGUUGGUCAAGUGAGGGUUAGAUCGGUCGGCUAUGUAUGGGAGAUCGACUCCUUGAUGCACAGGUUUGAGAGGAUGGGCCAUGUGUGAGGACAGCUCAUUGGGCGUUUUGGUGACGCCACUGACUAAUUUCCACUUGUUUGAUUAUUUGAAAGUAUAAUUACUUGUGAGUGCUGAUGUUGUGCCAUAUAUUUGACUGGUUGUUCAUUUUAGUAUUUUAGGAAGCAUUUCGUGUGAAUGCCUGUGUUAUGCCAUAAUUAUUAUUCAUUACAAAUUCACAUUUCUUUUGUAUAAUUUUUCUAGGAAGUAGUAGAUUUUUUUUUAUCCCGACUAAAGCUUUGUUUCCUUCACCUCAAAGCUAGAAAAGUAAUUUCCUAAUUCCA